GACGAACGCUGGCGGCGUGCUUAACACAUGCAAGUCGAACGGAAAGGCCCUGCUCUUGUGGGGUGCUCGAGUGGCGAACGGGUGAGUAACACGUGAGUAACCUGCCCUUGACUUUGGGAUAACUUCAGGAAACUGGGGCUAAUACCGGAUAGGAGCUCCUGCUGCAUGGUGGGGGUUGGAAAGUUUCGGCGGUUGGGGAUGGACUCGCGGCUUAUCAGCUUGUUGGUGGGGUAGUGGCUUACCAAGGCUUUGACGGGUAGCCGGCCUGAGAGGGUGACCGGGCACAUUGGGACUGAGAUACGGCCCAGACUCCUACGGGCGGCAGCAGUGGGGAAUAUUGCACAAUGGGCGGAAGCCUGAUGCAGCAACGCCGCGUGCGGGAUGACGGCCUUCGGGUUGUAAACCGCUUUCGCCUGUGACGAAGCGUGAGUGACGGUAAUGGGUAAAGAAGCACCGGCUAACUACGUG
RNAcentral lists this ribosomal RNA (468 nucleotides) under uncultured bacterium. Its description in RNAcentral is "partial 16S ribosomal RNA". It matches the Rfam family "Bacterial small subunit ribosomal RNA", at positions 28 to 507 of the family's 1533-position model. The record is from RNAcentral.